Molecule: long non-coding RNA, 768 nt
Organism: Syngnathus acus (greater pipefish)
Lineage: Eukaryota; Metazoa; Chordata; Actinopteri; Syngnathiformes; Syngnathidae
Exons: 3
Source: RefSeq, a predicted model, not a curated record
GUCCCACCCAGCAGUCGACAUGUGGUCUCUUGUCACCGCUUUGCCCUCAAGUGACUCGAGUCUCGCUUGCAGGCUGGAGUGCAAAGUGUGGCCGGUGGCUGGACCGAUCCUCCCACGACUUCUGCUACCUGAUCCAGCACAGGCACACCAAGACUUGGGAGAAUGCGCGAGACGACUGCCUCCGCCGCGGAGGCGACCUACUCAGCAUCACCGACUCACGCGAACAGGCCUUCAUACAAAGUAGGCUGUCUGUCUGUCUGGUCGCAAUCAGGGGUGUUGAAAUCCCCCAACGUGGGCGGGGCUCCAGACGUCACCUGUGUUCGGUUCCUCUGACAACCUUUAACAUUUACGCAUUCAAAUCACGUGCCUUCUCAUCGGUACUGCGUGGCCACAAAUGAGCAGUUGGUCUAUCUUUGCUACCCUCCCGGAAGAAGCCGCAGUGAGCAGAGCACCAACGAGAAUGUUUCAAACGCUUGUUGCACAUUUUACCAUUUACCUCCAAAGGUCUGUACACUUUUCUGCCGAGCUCUCCCUCUCUGUGGUUGGGCGUCAACAACAACAUCACGAAAGACGGCAGCGAGUGGACUGACGGAUCCCCGUUCGGUUACGUGCUCAUGGACGGCGAUGACCCCGGUGACCUCUCUGGUGCACCCUGUCUUUCCUUACUCACAAGCAACGGCCGCUGGAAGUUUGACGAUUGCAGGAAGAAAAGGGGCUACAUCUGCAAGAAAAGAGGAAUCCCGGCAACGCCUCAGCAGCCUCUUGAGG